GCUUACGGCCAUACCACCUUAGGCACGCCCGAUCUCGUCUGAUCUCGGAAGCUAAGCAGGGUCGGGCCUGGUUAGUACUUGGAUGGGUGACCGCCUGGGAAGUACCAGGUGCUGUAAGCA
Molecule: ribosomal RNA, 120 nt
Filed under: Gadus morhua (Atlantic cod)
Lineage: Eukaryota; Metazoa; Chordata; Actinopteri; Gadiformes; Gadidae
Source: RNAcentral